UAUGGUCACUAGGGGUGCCGCAAGGCUGAGACGGACGUUAUUCAUGUUCGGACCCUUUGAACCUGAUCUGGAUUAUACCAGCGUAGGGAAGUGGAGAACGAAUAAC
Molecule: non-coding RNA, 106 nt
Filed under: Paenibacillus wynnii
Lineage: Bacteria; Bacillati; Bacillota; Bacilli; Caryophanales; Paenibacillaceae
Description: TPP sequence
Rfam family: TPP riboswitch aptamer (THI element)
About the family: Vitamin B(1) in its active form thiamin pyrophosphate (TPP) is an essential coenzyme that is synthesised by coupling of pyrimidine and thiazole moieties in bacteria. The previously detected thiamin-regulatory element, thi box was extended, resulting in a new, highly conserved RNA secondary structure, the THI element, which is widely distributed in eubacteria and also occurs in some archaea.
Source: Rfam by way of RNAcentral